CUUAAAUAGAAUUUUGGACUUUUUUUCCCUCAUUUUGGUUUAUAUGCACUACACCAACUUGAAUUGUUCUAUAUCCAGGAAUUCAUUGCAAAGGCAAUAACACUGCCGGGUGAAGGGGAGAUCAUGGACAUUAUGGAAGUUGCCGAUCCUGAUGCAGUGCAUGCUGUUCGAUCUUUCAUCAGGAAGCAGCUGGCGUCUGAACUGAGAGCAGAGCUCCUUAGCACAGUAUGCUAUCUUCCAAGGAGUAACUAUUUUUUAUUUCCACUUCUAUAUUAACCUUUGUCUAGAAAUUAACUUUGCCUUUAUAUAUUAAACAGGUUGAAAAGAAUAGGAGCUCGGAGGAUUAUGUGUUUAACCAUCCUAAUAUGGCUAGACGUGCACUGAAGAAUGUUGCCCUU
RNAcentral lists this long non-coding RNA (398 nucleotides) under Vitis vinifera (wine grape). RNAcentral describes it as "long non-coding RNA (VVIN_LNC000363)". Lineage: Eukaryota; Viridiplantae; Streptophyta; Magnoliopsida; Vitales; Vitaceae. The record is from RNAcentral.